This 497-nucleotide ribosomal RNA is filed under the name uncultured bacterium. RNAcentral's name for it is "partial 16S ribosomal RNA". It matches the Rfam family "Bacterial small subunit ribosomal RNA", at positions 28 to 507 of the family's 1533-position model. The record is from RNAcentral.
GAUGAACGCUGGCGGCGUGCCUAAUACUUGCAAGUCGAGCGAACAGACGAGGAGCUUGCUCCUCUGAUGUUAGCGGCGGACGGGUGAGUAACACGUGGAUAACCUACCUAUAAGACUGGGAUAACUUCGGGAAACCGGAGCUAAUACCGGAUAACAUGUUGAACCGCAUGGUUCAACAGUGAAAGACGGUCUUGCUGUCACUUAUAGAUGGAUCCGCGCCGCAUUAGCUAGUUGGUAAGGUAACGGCUUACCAAGGCAACGAUGCGUAGCCGACCUGAGAGGGUGAUCGGCCACACUGGAACUGAGACACGGUCCAGACUCCUACGGGAGGCAGCAGUAGGGAAUCUUCCGCAAUGGGCGAAAGCCUGACGGAGCAACGCCGCGUGAGUGAAGAAGGUCUUCGGAUCGUAAAACUCUGUUAUUAGGGAAGAACAAAUGUGUAAGUAACUAUGCACGUCUUGACGGUACCUAAUCAGAAAGCCACGGCUAACUACGUG